This 408-nucleotide ribosomal RNA is filed under the name uncultured bacterium. RNAcentral's name for it is "bacterial SSU rRNA". It matches the Rfam family "Bacterial small subunit ribosomal RNA", at positions 509 to 916 of the family's 1533-position model. The record is from RNAcentral.
CAGCAGCCGCGGUAAUACGGGGGGGGCAAGCGUUGUUCGGAAUUACUGGGCGUAAAGGGUUCGUAGGUGGCCGGCUAAGUCAGACGUGAAAUCCCCGAGCUCAACUCGGGAACUGCGUCCGAUACUGGUGGGCUUGAAUCCGGGAGAGGGAUGCGGAAUUCCAGGUGUAGCGGUGAAAUGCGUAGAUAUCAGGAGGAACACCUGUGGCGAAGGCGGCUUUCUGGGCCUUACCUGACGCUGAGACGCGGAAGCGUGGGGGGCGAGCCGGAUUAGAUACCCGGGUAGUCCACGCCGUAAACUAUGGACACUAGGUGUGGGGGGUAUCGACACUCUCUCUGUCGUGGCAAAUGUGUUAGUGCCCCGCCUGGGGAGUACGGCCGCAAGGCUGAAACUCAAAGGAAUUGACGG